This is a long non-coding RNA of Mytilus californianus (California mussel), 985 nucleotides long. RefSeq lists it as uncharacterized. NCBI's taxonomy places the organism in Eukaryota, Metazoa, Mollusca, Bivalvia, Mytilida, Mytilidae. The transcript has 2 exons. The record is from RefSeq and is a predicted model, not a curated record.
UGUCAUCAAAAUUUGCAUUUUUGAGAUCAUUUAUAGUGUUUUCAGAUAUGAUAUUACAAAGUCUGAUUUUUAGGCCAAUUUGGGCUCUCCUAAUCCUACUCCUUUAUUAUUUUUUGUUAAAAAUUAUUACAUGAUAAAAUUUGUAUUGAAUUUUGAAAUUUUAAAUAAUUUUACCAAAGGACAUUAAUUGUAGAAAAUGCAUACAUGUACCUAUAUGGUUCAGUAAAAUUCAUAUCUGCCAACUUUUCAAAAUCUCCUUGGUUAAUUUUAAGUACAAGAUGACCUAAUGGCUAAUGCUCCUCUUACAUUUACAUUAUAUAUUGUCAUAAGUGUUUUUAAUCUACUACUGUAUUGUUUGAAUGAGUAUGUGUGUUCUUAAAUUUUGAAUGCCUGUUUUUGGGUGUUCAGUUUGCAUGAUUAAGAUUUUCAAAAUUUAACCUUAGUUUAUCUAAAAUUUGUUUGGAUUAAAGAACUAUUUAGUGACCUCAUUUUGAAUAAGUGUGUUAUCUUAAUUUUUGAAAUCAAUUUUUAUUGUUGAAUUGUCUUUCAGAAAUGCUCUACCAGUAUUUGAAGUGCCAGGGCCCAGGUUCCAAACUAGAACAUAAGAACCAGUUCUCUAAUGUCUGAGGCAUUGCACUUUUAAUAAGGUCUGGCAUUCCACCUAGACCUAUACCUGAUAAUGAGAGAAAACACCAGAAACUAUUUCCUAAGGAAAAUGUAUAAACUAGUGAAUUGUUGGUUUAAUCUACCAGGAUGUAAUGUUAUCAAGUAAUGAACAAAAGAAGUAACAUGAAGUUAGACAAUACAACUUGAGGUGCUAGAUUGUGUGCAAUUGUUAUUUGGAGAUAUAUAGAUGAUCAUAGAUGGAUUUUGUCAAAAUGUGAACUGUUACACAGGAAUUAAAUAUAUUAUUUUGUAGAAAAGAUCCAGUUGUGUUCCAUAAUUCCCAAAAAUGGUGAAUGUAAGAAUUAAAUUUUCAUAUCUA